UAGGGAAUUUUCGUCAAUGGGGGAAGCCCUGAACGAGCAAUGCCGCGUGUGUGAAGAAGGUCUUCGGAUCGUAAAGCACUGUUGUAAGUGAAGAAUGCCAUAUAGAGGAAAUGCUAUGUGGGUGACGGUAGCUUACCAGAAAGCCACGGCUAACUACGUGCCAGCAGCCGCGGUAAUACGUAGGUGGCAAAGCGUUAUCCGGAAUCAUUGGGCGUAAAGGGUGCGUAGGUGGCACGAUAAGUCUGAAGUAAAAGGCAACAGCUCAACUGUUGUAUGCUUUGGAAACUGUCGAGCUAGAGUGCAGAAGAGGGCGAUGGAAUUCCAUGUGUAGCGGUAAAAUGCGUAGAUAUAUGGAGGAACACCAGUGGCGAAGGCGGUCGCCUGGUCUGUAACUGACACUGAUGCACGAAAGCGUGGGGAGCAAAUAGGGAUUAGAUACC
Molecule: ribosomal RNA, 440 nt
Filed under: uncultured bacterium
Lineage: Bacteria
Description: bacterial SSU rRNA
Rfam family: Bacterial small subunit ribosomal RNA
Source: RNAcentral